Molecule: long non-coding RNA, 521 nt
Filed under: Homo sapiens (human)
Lineage: Eukaryota; Metazoa; Chordata; Mammalia; Primates; Hominidae
Description: HSALNT0405669
Source: RNAcentral
UCCGGGAUAACCACCACCCCAGGCCUGGGCUGCAGGUCUUGGCAUCCUGAAGAUACAAGCAAGAGGAGACUUCUUUCCUCAUAGCCUGUGCUUUGGGGAGGAUGCACAAGUGGCAGGUCCGAUGACAGGUGCUCCAACACCUUGUCCCCGGCCCCCCCUUACCAAACAAACAUAAUAAAGCAAAUAGACAACUGUCCUGGUAAACCAGGCUCCAAAGAGUUAAAGAAACCAAAGACUAAAUUCUUGGACUUACAGAAUAGCAGAUAAGAAAAGAAAGAACUUGCUGAAAAGCUGAAACUAAGACUGUGCCCCGAAGAGUAAGAAACCAGUAACAGAAAUUCUUGAGUUUGCAGGAUAGCAGAUAAGAAAAGAAACAGCUUGCCGAAACACGGACACUCCCUGCACUUACGAGAUCAAGAAAAAAACUGGCUGAUGGCCGGGCCCGGUGCCUCAAGCCUGUAACCCCAGCACUUUGGGAGGCCAAGGUUCUCACUCUGUCACCCAGGCUAAAGUGCAGUGGU